GGCCCUUUAGCUCAGUUGGUUAGAGCGAACGACUCAUAAUCGUAAGGUCGCUGGUUCAAGUCCAGCAAGGGCCACCA
RNAcentral lists this transfer RNA (77 nucleotides) under Enterobacteriaceae bacterium RIT711. Its description in RNAcentral is "tRNA-Ile". It matches the Rfam family "tRNA". From Rfam's summary of the family: Transfer RNA (tRNA) molecules are approximately 80 nucleotides in length. Their secondary structure includes four short double-helical elements and three loops (D, anti-codon, and T loops). Lineage: Bacteria; Pseudomonadati; Pseudomonadota; Gammaproteobacteria; Enterobacterales; Enterobacteriaceae. The record is from RNAcentral.